Gymnodraco acuticeps is the source of this 1032-nucleotide long non-coding RNA. RefSeq lists it as uncharacterized. NCBI's taxonomy places the organism in Eukaryota, Metazoa, Chordata, Actinopteri, Perciformes, Bathydraconidae. The transcript is spliced from 2 exons. The record is from RefSeq and is a predicted model, not a curated record.
GAUGAAGGGCCUGCAGGCCUGAACCUGGCUGUUAAAGUACCAGCGCAUCGUGUACCGUCCACAGCUCCCCUCCUCCAUGGGCAGCAGGCACACGUCUGCUGGAGCUGCACAACACACAGACACACAGUCAACAGCAAAUGCAGCCUGAGACAUGCAGAGAGGGCCAGACACCAGGCAGGAGUACCCCUGAUCCCAUCCCAGAACCAGUCAACAGCACGGCCGCGGGUUUACCUUCCCCAUUGACUCUCCUCUUGGACCUGACUGAUCUGGACAUGACUGCUUUCAGAGUGGUAACUUUGGCUGCUUUCUGACCACCAUCUUUUGCUGUUUUCUUAACGUCAGCUGAGGCUGAUUUUUUUGGUUGAACUUUGACUGUUUUGUCAGUGUUAUCCUUGACAACCUCACCUGUCAACAGACACACACAAACACACAGGCGCACACACAAACACACACAGGAAUCGAAACAUUCAGUAAAUAAAACAAAAAAAAGAGACAUUUUGCAUUAAAGUGUUAUUGGGUUUAAAGAACACGGUCCACGUUAAAGUUCACAGUCAGGAUGGUGUGUGCUUGUAGCUUGCAUGUGUGAGAAUAUGAAUGGUCAACAAAGUCUCGUAAUGUUAUGAAAUGAGCACAAAGUGAAACAAACACUUAAUAUGAGACAUGCUCCCCUGGCGCAAAUUUGAUUAUGUGUCGAUUGAAUAAACCAUAGUAUGGGACACAAGCAAAGAUUUGACUUGCCAGCUUUUAUUUAUCAAAUGGAACUGAAAAGUUUGUAGCGUGUGAUUGAAUUGUGUUAGAGUUAGGGACAUUAUAAUUUAGAUAAAAGGCAAAUCCCAGAAUAUGGCAUCCUUGUUAUUGUUCUUGUAUUUUUGUCUGUUGUGACUGAACAUUUUAAUCAUCACCUCCAUUUUAGACUUCAGCAUAAUCAUCAUAACAGAUUAAUAUAAAUAGAAAUGUGGUCCUAUCAAUAAGCUUAAAUCAUUUCUUUGAGGAUAGGAUAAUGAUUUGGUCAUGAUUAAAUCAUUUUGCACA